Falco peregrinus (peregrine falcon) is the source of this 4306-nucleotide long non-coding RNA. RefSeq lists it as uncharacterized. The record is from RefSeq and is a predicted model, not a curated record. The transcript is spliced from 2 exons. NCBI's taxonomy places the organism in Eukaryota, Metazoa, Chordata, Aves, Falconiformes, Falconidae.
CUGACUGAGCCCGAUGCGGCACCGGUAGCCGCGGAUGCGGUGGGAGGAAAGAACUUGAGUGUCAUUCGCUGCUUUUCAUGCAGCUAAAGACAGAGUGACUGGACCGCGUAGCUAGAUGUGUAUUUUGUAUCAGCCGAUGUAAGGAAGUCACGCUCUUUGCUUCGAGAGACUUGGGGUGCAGGUCCAGGUCACCACCGCUUGCCGAAAGUGGCAGCUUUAUCUUAGCUGUGAUGUAGCAACUCCCUCAGAACAGGCCAGGCCUCCCCUUUUUUGAGGUAGGGACACACCACUGAAACAGGGUAUAGAACAUAGGAACGAGGGCACUAGGGGCAUUUUCUGUUUUCUUUUGGGGAGAGAUGAGGGGGCAAGGGGCAGCACAGCAGCCUGCCGUGCUAGGGGUCCCACUGGAGGCGGUGCAGGCAGGUGGGAUGCACAGGACAGCAAGAUCUGCAGCAGCUUCUCCCCACGCUGGUUUGAUAAAAGAGGAAUUCAGCCCAGUGGGUCUGUCUGCUCAAAAGGUCUCUGCUGGAGCAGGUGGAGCACAGAAAGAUAGUACCAAGGAAAUAAACAGUUUUUUCUCAUCCCCCCCCCCCCAAUUGUUGGUUUGGUUUUGGUUUUUGGUUGUUGUUUUUUUUUUCUCCAGCAAAUAAAAUAAAGGGAAAAGACCACACUAGAAAGAUAAGUUGUGCUCUUGGCUAUUUCUGCUAAGCUUUAAUAGGUUUGCAAAACAGAGGUGUAAAACUUGCAAGAAGGGUGAAAUAAUUAGACUAGGAAUGUGGGGGUUUUGUCCCUGCUGUAUUUAUCCUUGGGCCAGAUCAGAAACAUAAGACGUCCAACAGGUGUUUUCAAACGAAAGAACUGAACAGUUCCUCCUUUCUCUAAAAGCCACAUACUUUUCCUAUCUAAUCAGUAAUACGAAAUGGGGAGGUGCUGACACAAGCAAGAAUAGCUGAUGACUUCAUCAGUGUGGCAGCAGCUUUCCCUUUCAAGUGUGAGCAAUUUAUUGUGGGUUUGGGAGGUUUUAUUUUGUUUUUAAUUUUGUCUUCUAUGCAGGAAACUGCAGUCACCCUUAGGACUGUUCCAGUCUUACUUUAAAUCUAGGCUGAGGCAGAGCACAGUACUAUGUGCUAUUACUCUCUAACAAGCACCAACUGCUGCUCUUGCAAUCAAAACAAAUGUAAAGCCAGUAACUCUAGUCACCAGCAAUUUUUACUCUUAUUAUUAGUGGAUUUGACCUAAGAACUAGAGGGAGCUUAAUCACCAUAGCUAGAUGUUAACAUUGUGUACAUAACCAUGAAGGGUGAAAACUUCUGAAAAACUUAAGCAAAUAAUUUCUUCUCUUCCCCAACAGACAGACUGGCUAUUCUGACAUGGGAAAAACCCUGUAAUUUCAGAGAGGUGACCAGUAAAACUGCAACAAAACUGUUCCAAGAUUUAAAGCAGCAGGGAAAGCGACCUUCUACAAUGCAGUUACGAUUGUUUCUCCAUCCUCUUUGAAAACAGGCUCCUCAAAACUUUUUUGUAUGGCUGUGUUGUUUUUCUUUUUUAAACUGUAAAUUAUGUAGUGAAUUUGUGUCAUGUUUUGCUGUGAGAGUUCUCUGGAUUGUAGUUGGGAAAUUACUUUUCACCUUUACAACAUAUUAACCUCUCAGUCACACAAUCAAAGUGUCAAAAUUAUCUACUGCCCACUGCAGCGUAUUGUUAGAGAAGCUGAAGCUCCACUAAAAGGGAAAAGCGGUUUUCAGUGUAACUAAAGAUGUGGCUGCCUACACUUUCCACGCUGGACAGGCUUGAGGCCACAGCUGCCCGGAGCCCUCGGCAGCCCUCGCCCCGCGGAGGGCUGGGUGCUCUCUGGGACCGACGGCUGUGCUGUGUUGCAGCGUGGCGCGUCUGGCUGCGCUUGUUCAUGCUUCUGCCACAAAAUGAUGAGUAACACAAGAGACAAAAGAGCAAGUGUUCCUCGCUGGAGGAGCUGGUGUGCUACACAAGUGAGUAAAGCCUCAAAAUGUCCAUAAAAGAACUGAAGUGCCAGCUGUGGAGUCAAGCCACUUCCAGGCUUACCCAGAUAAAGUACGAGUCAGUAUCGUGAUUAUUUUCAUAAUCACUUAAUUGAACAGAAAUUAAUACCUCCUCUGAGCAGCAUUACAAGCCAGCAGCAAGCAAGGCAUCAUUCAUGCUGCCGAUAGCUUUGGGUGAUUUUUCUGUGUUCAGGAGUUCAGAUGCGAUCAGGCCCUAACUGACUUUGGACCAGGCUUGUUCUGAUGUGUCCCCUGCCUUUCUCCAGGUGAACUGUUCAUUUUCUGACCUGGUGUUGGCUGUCCAAGUCUGGCAUCACAGCAUACUUCCUCCUCACCACCUGCUUUUCCUUGUGUAGAUUUCCUGUCUACCAUAAUACAGAUGCUUUUGGCAUCAAUGCAGUACCCUCACUCUCGACCAUAAACCUCAUGGUGAAAUCAGCUAGCAGGGGUAGGAGCCUUCUUGUAUGGAGCCCAUUUCUGUAUGAUAAAGGUGAAGGAAAUAAUAAAAAUUUCUCUUCUGACACAUUAUCUCCUAAAGCAGGUAUCUUCAGCUGCCCAAAAGCACGCUUUUUCCCUCUUCCGUGAGAUGACAUGUAAAUAGUUAACUCUUUCUAAAAAAGUAAUGAGAGGACACUUGUUCUAUGACAACGCAUUUGCUCUGAAAAGACCACCAAAUGGACCACAGCCAGAACUUCUGAACGGGUAGGAUUAAUACCCAUUGGUUUAAUAUUAAGCUAAGCACAAACCCCAACCGAGCACGUAAGGUAUUUCUAAAGAAGGGAAUACUGAGACUCAGGUUUUGUACUCGGGGCUGAGGAAACAAAGGCACCACCCUACACAGUAUGAAUUUUAAUUGUUCUUUUUGGGAUCUGUCAAGGAAAUAGCAAAAGCCUGAAAUUAGUGUGUAGUAGGAACUAGGGAGGUCUAGAGGGAAUUGUUUAUGAUAAGGGAGGCAAGGUGGGCAAAAAAAUGAAGUACUAGCUCCCAAGUCUUUUCUUCCAGGUAACUGCUACUCUUUGGAGCCAUUAAGGUCUGGGUCCUCACACAGCCACACUGCCUCUGCCCUCCCUGUGCUCUGCUGCCCCUGCCUUCCCACCUGCGGUCACUCCCCCCCCCAGGCUGUGGGCUCCUUCAUGGCUGGCACUGGUUCUGGGCGUGCCCUUUGCCUUUUAACUCUCUAACACCAGCUGUUUCCAUGCCUCCAUUCGUAUUUGAUGUUAAUUCUGGGACAUAGAGAUCCCUUUCCGCACUGCAACAAGUGCCCUGAAAAAUCUAGGUUGCUGUUCUGAAUUACCGUUUAAGCCAUUAGUUGCUUAAGGAAGCUCGCCAGAGCCAGCAGCCAGCAAUAUUUCUUGUAUGCAAACUGCCUCCUAAAUAGUAGGACAGUCCUCCAGUAUCCGCUCUCUGUCUGUGGUAGCUGGAUUUCCUGGGGAUGUGUUCGAUGUGCAACAUGAUCAGUACAAUAAGACGGUGACACACGUUUAGCAAUUGCUUUCUGAGAGUCUGUUAAUACCACAUAAAAAAUGGUUCUCAGGUUCUGCACACAGACAGGUUUAUGUAAAAUAUAUAAACAUUUGUCCAAGUUGUUACAGAUUGCAUAAAUACGGCAUUUUUACUGUUGCAUUUACAGAUGUGCAUGUACAAUGAUGUGCAAAUAAUCACAAUUUGAUUACAAUCUUUGAAAGGUACUUGAACCUUGCAUCCAAGUAACGCAAUGAAUGAAAAAUGCCCACCAAAGAAUUUAAAUAGCAAACUUAAAACAUGGUUUAAAUUCGUAACAAAAUUCAAUGUCUUCUCAGUAAAACUUUCACACAUUUAAAAUAGUUUGUAUUCAUUUUAUUUGUAUAUGUCAAAAUACAUUUUUUUUUCCAAAAUAGUGGGUUUUGCAACUAGUUUCAUGCAGAUACAAGGUCUGCUCAGUACUACCAAUAAAAUCAAUAUAGCACAGUAGCCAUUCAUUUUUUAGAUAUAAAGAAUAAAUAACCUAAAUAUAAAACACUAAAAUAUUAGAAACAUGUAUUUAAUCAUUCACAGGCACCCAAACUUUACCAAAUAUAAUCCAGAAUAUGCCUAACUGUCUUGUAACAGAACUCAAUACGUUGCAGCCAUUCAAUUCUUUAUUUUAUGUUAGCGUAAGACAAUGGAAGUCCCUAUCGUUCAGACCCACCUCUCAUACAGUUCAAUUACAAUAAGAUAUCUCAAACUAUCUGUGUACCUUUAAAAUCAAGAAUCCUGAGCUUGGUAGUAAGAGCAUAACCUUACAUCUUCAAAAAACCAAUCAACAGAGA